Molecule: long non-coding RNA, 1445 nt
Filed under: Homo sapiens (human)
Lineage: Eukaryota; Metazoa; Chordata; Mammalia; Primates; Hominidae
Description: HSALNT0312409
Source: RNAcentral
ACACGUAAAAGGAGCUCAUUCGGAGGCAGGGGCACGCGCUUGUCCCCAGAACUCAAACCCCAGAGUCCCUCCGAUGAGAGUGGAGGUUGUAAAUCACCCUCCAUGCAAUGGUUCAUCAUAAAGGAUAUGGAGCAAAAUUAGAGGAGGCACGAGAAGGAAAGCCGGUGAUGAACAAGGAUUUGCCUCAACUACAGAGACAGCAUGGAACACGCCCUCCUAGGCUGCCCACAUCCUCAUCUGCAUGGGGGCACAGAAGCCUGGCCAUUCAUCCCAUGGGAGACUCAGGACAUGCUCCCAGCAACCUGAUGGGCUGCCCAAGGCUUGGCUGAUCCUGCAUCCCUGCAUCACAUCUCAGCUUCUCCCUCUGCCCAAAUCUACUUCCUCCCCAUUCCUUUCACAGGCAUUGAUUCCCUGAUAAACACCUUGCACCCCAUAUUCCAUCUCAGAGUCUCCUUGCAGAGAACCCAACCUGUGGCAGAGCUGGUCUCAGGACUCGGAGCGAGGGAGCAGGGAAAGAGGACAGGAAAGCAGGGAGAGUCAAUUUAAGGGUAUGUUGUCUGAGACAAAGAUUCUGCUAGGACCUCUGAGAUGGGUACAAGAUGCCUGGAGCCAUUCACUGGGCAGUAUCUGUCCAUCAGCUCCCAGGCCCCACAGAACCGGAGCUGCCUGUGAGGGCUUUCACUGCCCUGCAUUUCUGGGCUUCACAUAUGCACUGGCUGAGAGGGCUCCCUGUCUUCAAGGACGAUCCUGAGCAGAAAGUGGGUGCACUUGAGGUGGCAUGCUGUUGCGAGAGUCUGAGCUUUAUGAGAAGCAGACCCAGGGGGCAUGGUGUGGGGCAUCCCAAAGGACCUGCCAUACAUUAGGUGCCUUGGUCUUGGGGAGGAGCCCUCGGGAGUUCUGAGGGUGGGAGAAGAGGUAGGUGGGGUUAAUCCUUUCCCAUUCCCUCCCUGCCUCAGCACCAUGGCUCAGGCAGUAGCGCUGCCAGCUCCUCCUGGGAUCAGAGUUAUGGCCCUGCUCCCCUUGUCCCUUCAGGCUGAGGAACAUAAGGGCUUCCCAUGGUUGCUGGUGUCUGAGUGCCUCAACCUCCCUUGCUGGUUCCUUUCCCCUGCCCACACCUUUGUCAAUAGUUCCCCCCACUGAAGUCUCUUUGGUUGAGCAGUUGGUGGGGAUGCUGACUGAUAAAGUGGUCUAGGCCACUGCUCACUGCUUAAAGCCUUGCUUCAGAGAGACCUUCCAGGGCCCUGCAGCUCCCCCUUCUCCAACCCCUCCAACCCCUCCAACCUUUCUCUCUCCCAGCUGGUCUGGGUUCCCUACGGCAUCUACUUGCUUUUGAAUCUAUUUCUUAUAGAUACAUGUGUGUCCUCCUCUUUCACAGCCUUACCUUUUCAUAUGGAGGAAGAAAAAACCCAUUUCUAUAAAGCUAUUAAAUGUUUUCCUUUCACAAA